GAACUGAAGAGUUUGAUCAUGGCUCAGAUUGAACGCUGGCGGCAGGCCUAACACAUGCAAGUCGAGCGGAUGAAGGGAGCUUGCUCCUGGAUUCAGCGGCGGACGGGUGAGUAAUGCCUAGGAAUCUGCCUGGUAGUGGGGGAUAACGUCCGGAAACGGGCGCUAAUACCGCAUACGUCCUGAGGGAGAAAGUGGGGGAUCUUCGGACCUCACGCUAUCAGAUGAGCCUAGGUCGGAUUAGCUAGUUGGUGGGGUAAAGGCCUACCAAGGCGACGAUCCGUAACUGGUCUGAGAGGAUGAUCAGUCACACUGGAACUGAGACACGGUCCAGACUCCUACGGGAGGCAGCAGUGGGGAAUAUUGGACAAUGGGCGAAAGCCUGAUCCAGCCAUGCCGCGUGUGUGAAGAAGGUCUUCGGAUUGUAAAGCACUUUAAGUUGGGAGGA
RNAcentral lists this ribosomal RNA (445 nucleotides) under Pseudomonas aeruginosa. Its description in RNAcentral is "bacterial SSU rRNA". It matches the Rfam family "Bacterial small subunit ribosomal RNA", at positions 1 to 448 of the family's 1533-position model. Lineage: Bacteria; Pseudomonadati; Pseudomonadota; Gammaproteobacteria; Pseudomonadales; Pseudomonadaceae. The record is from RNAcentral.